GGCGCACGGGUGAGUAACACGUGGGAACAUACCUCAUAGUACGGAAUAACUGCGGGAAACUGUAGCUAAUACCGUAUAUUCCAGAAAUGGGAAAGAUUUAUCGCUAUGAGAUUGGCCCGCGCAAGAUUAGCUUGUUGGUAAGGUAACGGCUUACCAAGGCUCCGAUCUUUAGCUGGUUUGAGAGGAUGAUCAGCCACACUGGGACUGAGACACGGCCCAGACUCCUACGGGAGGCAGCAGUAGGGAAUAUUGGACAAUGGGGGAAACCCUGAUCCAGCAAUGCAGCGUGAGUGACGAAGGCCUUAGGGUUGUAAAACUCUUUCAUCGGUGAGGAUAAUGACAGUAGCCGAAGAAGAAGGACCGGCUAAUUCCGUGCCAGCAGCCGCGGUAAUACGGAAGGUCCUAGCGUUGUUCGGAAUUACUGGGCGUAAAGCGCAUGUAGGCGGAACAAAAAGUUAGAAGUGAAAUCCCUGGGCUCAACCUAGGAAUUGCUUUUAAAACUUUUGUUCUGGAAUUCAGGAGAGGAAAAUGGAAUUUCCAGUGUAGAGGUGAAAUUCGUAGAUAUUGGAAGGAACACCAGUGGCGAAGGCGAUUUUCUGGACUGAUAUUGACGCUGAGAUGCGAAGGCAUGGGUAGCAAACGGGAUUAGAUACCCCGGUAGUCCAUGCAGUAAACGAUGGGUGCUAGUCGUCGGACUUUUGUUCGGUGUCGUAGCUAACGCGUUAAGCACCC
Molecule: ribosomal RNA, 732 nt
Filed under: uncultured marine bacterium
Lineage: Bacteria
Description: bacterial SSU rRNA
Rfam family: Bacterial small subunit ribosomal RNA
Source: RNAcentral